AGGCUCCCUGGGCUGGCACCGCCCUAGGCUGGAGAAAGAGGAAACACGUUGGUCUGCGCACUCAGAGCCGAGUCAAAUGUGCAGGAAGAUUCCCCCAAACUGAAAGAAGUAAUGAAAAGAAAACAAAAAAAUCCUUAAAAAUCGAGUGAAUCAGUUCGUAGAGAAUUGCAGGGUCAACAGCAAAUUUGAGGCAGUGGAUAUGAGGAUAGAGGAGACACCUGAAGACUUCACUUUCUCCAUUUCUGUACUUGAAUUUUUACACCAAGCAUACAGCUUGAAAAAAUUAAAUGAGUAUGCAGUAUUUUAAAAAUCAACAAAAGCUUCACAUUUUAAUUUUCACUUAAAAAAAAACACGAGUGGUACUCAGCAGAACAACAACUAUAUCGUAUAAGCUGCAUCAGAGACAAAUGAAGAUGAAAAAACUAUCCUCCUAUAUCACUAAUCUGUGCUGUGCCCCAACAAGGCCUGCUUUAAAUUUCCAUGCCAAUUACAACCCCCAUUCUGUAUCAGGCAAGGAAGAUUCCUCUACCCUUGAUUCUGGAUUGGAAAGGUCACAAGGCUUAGAUUCCACAGGAGGAGGUGAAGACAUCUGCAGAGUCUGUACUGCGAGCUGAAGCUUUAUUUGCUUGUCGGAUCCCCAAAAGGUCCAAAUCCAGUCUGCACCAAACAGGAAGGCUUGGUGCUUGGUCAUCUUGGUGGUGGUCAGCCACUCAUCAACUCCCUUUUCUUGGCAGAAAGUGAUGAAAUGGAUUAAGAAGAUCUCAUUCAGAGUAUUUGCAGCUGGGCAGAGUUUACUUGGAGGAUAUUCAAAUCCAAGGUACUCCUUCAGUUUCUGAGCUGCAUGGACUAUAGCUUCACCGACCACCUCACAGACGACGGGCACCUCUUUGCUGUCCUUCAGAGCCAACUGUUGCGAUGCUUUCUGCCCCAUUUUCUCUGCAUCCAAAUAUCAAACAUGUGAAUCUGGUUCAGACGUACUUCUUUUUCAAAGUAAAAGUUCUGCAAGGAGGCCACAUCUGUUAAUGGUUGAUAUUUUUCUAACUCUACAGCUUCCUCGGGUGUAGUUAAGCAUAUAUACAUACAGCUAAAUAAACAUGUUAGUUCUC
RNAcentral lists this non-coding RNA (1106 nucleotides) under Pan troglodytes (chimpanzee). The record is from RNAcentral. Lineage: Eukaryota; Metazoa; Chordata; Mammalia; Primates; Hominidae.